Pelobates cultripes (western spadefoot toad) is the source of this 227-nucleotide non-coding RNA. Lineage: Eukaryota; Metazoa; Chordata; Amphibia; Anura; Pelobatidae. The record is from the annotation of a GenBank genome assembly.
CAUUUGCCUCCAAGAUCCUCGAGAGAGAGUUGUCUACGCCAGAUUGACAGACUUUCUUGAAUCCAACUCUCUGCUUGACCCCCUUCAGUCUGGAUUCCGCGCUGGUCACUCUGUCGAAACUGCUGUGACCAAAGUAUCCAACGAUUUAAUUGCUGCUAAAUCUCGCGGCCAAUACUCUAUCCUAAUCCUCCUUGAUCUUUCUGCCGCUUUUGACACUGUUGAUCAUC